GGCGUAAUCUAGGCGGGCGAGCGAUCGCCUGUCCGGAUUGCGCCAGGAACAUCACUUCGGUCGAGGUGUUGUCGUUCCGAGAGGGGCGAUGACCGCGGCCGGCCUUCUUUACACUCUUGUCUGGAAGAUGAAGUCUGAAUGAAAAACAAAAAAUUGAAGCAAAACUUUCAACAACGGAUCUCUUGGCUCUGGCAACGAUGAAGAACGCAGCGAAACGCGAAAGGUAAUGCGAAUUGCAGAAUCAGUGAGUCAUCGAAUCUUUGAACGCACAUUGCGCCUCUUGGUAUUCCAGGAGGCACGCCUGUUCGAGCGCCAUUACACACCCCAAGCUCGGCUUGAUGUUGGACGAGGCGGGAGACCGCCCGUCUGGAACGCGUGGGCGCCGGCCGCCGGACCGCGAGCGUAGCAAGACGCAAGUCAGUCGCUCCGUGGGCUCCGACGGACGGUCGUCGAAUAUUCAUUGUAUAUCAUAACGUUUGGCCUCGGAUCAGGCGGGGAUACCCGCUGAACUUAAGCAUAUCAAUAAGCGGAGGAAAAGAAACCAACAGGGAUUGCCCCAGUAACGGCGAGUGAAGCGGCAACAGCUCAAAUUUGAAAUCUGGCGUCUCGGGCGCCCGAGUUGUAAUUUGCAGAGGAAGCCUCGGGUUGAGGGUCGGUCCAAGUUCCUUGGAACAGGAUACCGAAGAGGGUGAGAGUCCCGUCUCCGGCCGACGCCGACGCCCGUGUGAGGCUCCUUCGACGAGUCGAGUUGUUUGGGAAUGCAGCUCUAAAUGGGUGGUAAAUUCCAUCUAAAGCUAAAUACCGGCCAGAGACCGAUAGCGAACAAGUAGAGUGAUCGAAAGAUGAAAAGCACUUUGAAAAGAGAGUCAAACAGUACGUGAAAUUGUUGAAAGGGAAGCGUAUACGGCCAGACUUGACCGUGGGGGCUCAUCCCGUCUUCUGGCGGGUGCACUCCCUCGCGGGCAGGCCAGCAUCGGUUUGCGGGGUCGGACAAAGGCGUUGGGAACGUGGCUCUCUUCGGGGAGUGUUAUAGCCCGGCGUGCAAUGCGGCCACCGCGGACCGAGGACCGCGCU
Molecule: ribosomal RNA, 1074 nt
Filed under: Ascomycota sp. genotype 767 JMUR-2016
Lineage: Eukaryota; Fungi; Ascomycota
Description: eukaryotic LSU rRNA
Rfam family: Eukaryotic large subunit ribosomal RNA (bases 478-1074)
Source: RNAcentral